RNAcentral lists this unclassified non-coding RNA (83 nucleotides) under Pseudomonas vancouverensis. Lineage: Bacteria; Pseudomonadati; Pseudomonadota; Gammaproteobacteria; Pseudomonadales; Pseudomonadaceae. The record is from RNAcentral.
UGUAGGAGCGAGCAUGCUCGCGAUGAUGUUUCAGGCACAUCAGUGUCGACUGACACUCCAUCGCGAGCAAGCUCGCUCCCACA